RNAcentral lists this ribosomal RNA (217 nucleotides) under Rhizophagus irregularis. RNAcentral describes it as "partial 18S ribosomal RNA". The stretch from base 40 to 217 matches the Rfam family "Eukaryotic small subunit ribosomal RNA", at positions 686 to 864 of the family's 1831-position model. The record is from RNAcentral. Lineage: Eukaryota; Fungi; Glomeromycota; Glomeromycetes; Glomerales; Glomeraceae.
GGGUUAGUAGGUUGGUCAUGCCUCUGGUAUGUACUGGUCUCACUGAUUCCUCCUUCCUGAUGAACCGUAAUGCCAUUAAUUUGGUGUUGCGGGGAAUUUGGACUGUUACUUUGAAAAAAUUAGAGUGUUUAAAGCAGGCCAAUUGCUUGAAUACAUUAGCAUGGAAUAAUGAAAUAGGACGUUCGAUCCUAUUUUGUUGGUUUCUAGGAUUGACGUA